AUGAACGCUGGCGGCGUGCCUAAUCCCUGCCAGUCGAGCGAACAGAUGAGGAGCUUGCUCCUCUGACGUUAGCGGCGGACGGGUGAGUAACACGUGGAUAACCUACCUAUAAGACUGGGAUAACUUCGGGAAACCGGAGCUAAUACCGGAUAAUAUAUUGAACCGCAUGGUUCAAUAGUGAAAGACGGUUUUGCUGUCACUUAUAGAUGGAUCCGCGCCGCAUUAGCUAGUUGGUAAGGUAACGGCUUACCAAGGCGACGAUGCGUAGCCGACCUGAGAGGGUGAUCGGCCACACUGGAACUGAGACACGGUCCAGACUCCUACGGGAGGCAGCAGUAGGGAAUCUUCCGCAAUGGGCGAAAGCCUGACGGAGCAACGCCGCGUGAGUGAUGAAGGUCUUCGGAUCGUAAAACUCUGUUAUUAGGGAAGAACAAAUGUGUAAGUAACUAUGCACGUCUUGACGGUACCUAAUCAGAAAGCCACGGCUAACUACGUG
RNAcentral lists this ribosomal RNA (496 nucleotides) under uncultured bacterium. Its description in RNAcentral is "partial 16S ribosomal RNA". It matches the Rfam family "Bacterial small subunit ribosomal RNA", at positions 29 to 507 of the family's 1533-position model. The record is from RNAcentral.